This 87-nucleotide transfer RNA is filed under the name Gammaproteobacteria bacterium. RNAcentral's name for it is "tRNA-Leu". It matches the Rfam family "tRNA". Rfam says of the family: Transfer RNA (tRNA) molecules are approximately 80 nucleotides in length. The record is from RNAcentral. Lineage: Bacteria; Pseudomonadati; Pseudomonadota; Gammaproteobacteria.
GCCGAAGUGGUGAAAUUGGUAGACACGCCACCUUGAGGGGGUGGUGAGCGCACGCUCGUGGAGGUUCGAGUCCUCUCUUCGGCACCA